AUUGAACGCUGGCGGCAGGCUUAACACAUGCAGGUCGAGCGGGGGAAGGUAGCUUGCUACCGGACCUAGCGGCGGACGGGUGAGUAAUGCUUAGGAAUCUGCCUAUUAGUGGGGGACAACAUCUCGAAAGGGAUGCUAAUACCGCAUACGUCCUACGGGAGAAAGCAGGGGAUCUUCGGACCUUGCGCUAAUAGAUGAGCCUAAGUCGGAUUAGCUAGUUGGUGGGGUAAAGGCCUACCAAGGCGACGAUCUGUAGCGGGUCUGAGAGGAUGAUCCGCCACACUGGGACUGAGACACGGCCCAGACUCCUACGGGAGGCAGCAGUGGGGAAUAUUGGACAAUGGGGGGAACCCUGAUCCAGCCAUGCCGCGUGUGUGAAGAAGGCCUUAUGGUUGUAAAGCACUUUAAGCGAGGAGGAGGCUACUUUAGUUAAUACCUAGAGAUAGUGGACGUUACUCGCAGAAUAAGCACCGGCUAACUCUGUG
Molecule: ribosomal RNA, 485 nt
Filed under: uncultured bacterium
Lineage: Bacteria
Description: partial 16S ribosomal RNA
Rfam family: Bacterial small subunit ribosomal RNA
Source: RNAcentral